Molecule: ribosomal RNA, 253 nt
Filed under: uncultured bacterium
Lineage: Bacteria
Description: partial 16S ribosomal RNA
Rfam family: Bacterial small subunit ribosomal RNA
Source: RNAcentral
GACAGAGGGUGCAAGCGUUGCUCGGAAUCACUGGGCGUAAAGGGCGUGUAGGCGGGAAGGAAAGUCAGAUGUGAAAUCCCCAGGCUCAACCUGGGAACUGCAUUUGAAACUCCCUUUCUUGAGUACCGGAGAGGAAAGUGGAAUUCCUGGUGUAGAGGUGAAAUUCGUAGAUAUCAGGAGGAACACCAGUGGCGAAGGCGGCUUUCUGGACGGUAACUGACGCUGAGACGCGAAAGCGUGGGGAGCAAACAGG